This 111-nucleotide ribosomal RNA is filed under the name Paramormyrops kingsleyae. Lineage: Eukaryota; Metazoa; Chordata; Actinopteri; Osteoglossiformes; Mormyridae. The record is from RNAcentral.
CCAGCCAGGAUGAGGUUUCUCAGACUCAGUAAUGUGUCUGAAGCUAAGCAAGUUUGGGCCUGGUUAGUACUUGGAUGGGCAACCAACUCAGGAAGCUGGGCUACGGCUGGA